CGCCUCAUCCACACAGCGAUCAGACUAAUAGACAGCUCCUGUUAUGGCUGCAACAGUUUCUCUCUCCUCCACCUUUGACACCCUCCCCCACCACCACCACCACCAUAUCGCUCAUUUCAAACCCCGCCAUGCACCAUAUUUCAAUACCUUACCACCAAAGCCCAAACACCCUCUUCCCCUUCAACACAAAUCCGGCUGUUACCGCCUCGUACUACCUUUAUUUUCCUCCUCCGAUUCCCCUUCUUCAACCUCUUCAUUUUUCCAAGACCCACUAAGAACAGGUCGGUUUCUGAGCAAUGAAGAACUUGAGAAGCUCCGAAUUCUCGAAAAUUUCAGGUAUUCGCAUGAGUUCGAAUUUGGGUCUAUGUGGGUCCGGGUGAUGAGAGCAGAGGAGAUUGAUAUUACGGCUAAUUUGCUUGCCGAAUCGUUUGCCGUGUCCUUGUUAUUGCCUAUUGCGUAUGUGAAGCUGUUGGCGUACCUGGUGAAGCAGUAUUUGAUUGAGAAAAGAGCUUUAAUGCCGCAUACAGCAACGCUGGUUGGGUUUUACAAAGGUGUGGACGGUGGGGAAGAAGAAGAACAAUUGGCUGGGACUGUGGAGGUUUCUUUCAACAAGCGAGGAGCUAAUGCCUCUCCUCCCACACCCACUCCUCCCAAGAAUUCGCCUUAUAUUUGUAAUAUGACAGUCAGGGAGCCGCUUCGAAGGAGGGGCAUUGGUUGGAAUCUUUUAAAAGCAAGUGAGGAGCUGAUUUCUCAGAUGAGUUUGAUGAGAGACAUAUACUUGCACUGCAGAAUGAUUGAUGUAGCUCCCUUCAACAUGUAUACAAAAGCAGGUUACAAGAUUGUUAAGACAGACAGCAUCUUGAUCCUGUUGGCAUUGCAGAGGCGUAAGCACUUGAUGUGCAAGAAACUUCCAGUCCUAGACAACCCUUCAGAAACCUAUUUGUCUGGCCCUGAUGAGGCACUUCAUGAGUAGACAUGUGGAAACUGCUAUAUGUUCCUACUCUGCCACAUAAACUCAUAGUUUCUCGAGUAACCCACUCUUUUCCCUUUCUUUCCUCUCUCUAAACAUGUGGAGGAAUUACUGUUCUUUUUCCACUGCUUCUUUCUUUUUGAUAAGAUAUUCGGAUUUCUCUUUUCCUAACAUCUCCCUUGUAAGAUGUGUAUUUGAUUGCUAUCUCGGAUUCUCCUGGUACCAACAUUGUUCAUCCAGCUAGGUUGAUUUUUGGCUGUGUUCAAAUCUGAUGGUCCAUGCUCCAUUGCCUAUGUUUCAUCAUGUCUUUGGUAGAGAUCCAUUUUCUUGUGGUUGAGUUCCACUAGACAUGUCCAUCUUGCUCCAGCGUUGCCUAGUCAUACUAUUGUACAGAGAAACCACUUCUAAGUUCAUCAUUUGGCCUAACUUAUUCAUCUGUUUUUCUUAGUGAGCAGAGUCUGAAAUAAAACUUCUAUUCAAUGGUUGCAAAGAUAUGCUUGAUUACCUUAUCCCUUAUCCUAUCCUAUGCUCUCAAUCUGUGAAGCUAGUCCUUUGAGUUUUUGUAUUUAUCAUUUGAGUUGUUGCAUUGCUUGUCUUGCCAAGAUCAUGAAUGGAAUUGGGAGUGCCUUCAAAAACCAAGGGUCUAGAGAGAAGAAUAUUUCCAUUGGUAGCGGUGACCAGAAGUUCCAAUGCAAGGAGUACGCAUAAAUCCUAUAACAAACCCAGAAAUUGAUUAGCCUCUUCAUCCACCAUGCCCUAAUUUUAGGGGGUGAUGUCUUUUUCAAUUUCCCAGAUGAGUUAAAUAUGAAGUGUCGCCUCACAUCUGAGAUCAACUGAUAAGACAAGAAGUUGAUCAUACAAGCUGGACUAUCCCCUUUAUGAUUUUAUUUUAGGGGUCAAAAAUUGAAAACAGAAAAUAUCAUGGGAAAUUUGGAAUUGAAAUGCUGCUAAUUUUAUCAUAUUGAU
This is an RNA transcript of Vitis riparia (riverbank grape), 1936 nucleotides long. RefSeq lists it as uncharacterized. NCBI's taxonomy places the organism in Eukaryota, Viridiplantae, Streptophyta, Magnoliopsida, Vitales, Vitaceae. The record is from RefSeq and is a predicted model, not a curated record. The transcript has 3 exons.